GCUGUGGCUCAGUGGCAGAGCGCUUGCCUAGCGUGUCUGAGACACUGGGUUCGAUGCUCAGCACUGCA
Molecule: transfer RNA, 68 nt
Filed under: Marmota monax (woodchuck)
Lineage: Eukaryota; Metazoa; Chordata; Mammalia; Rodentia; Sciuridae
Description: tRNA.Ala
Source: RNAcentral